GCCGGGUGCAGUGGUGCACGCCUGUAAUCCCAGCGGCUCGGAAGGCUGAGGUAGGAGGAUUGCAAGUUCAAAGCCAGUCUCUGCAACUCAGUGAGGCCCUAAGCAACUCAGCGAGACCCUGUCUCUA
RNAcentral lists this small RNA (127 nucleotides) under Marmota monax (woodchuck). The record is from RNAcentral. Lineage: Eukaryota; Metazoa; Chordata; Mammalia; Rodentia; Sciuridae.